AUUGAACGCUGGCGGAAUGCUUUACACAUGCAAGUCGAACGGCAGCACGGGGCAACCUGGUGGCGAGUGGCGAACGGGUGAGUAAUACAUCGGAACGUGCCCAAUCGUGGGGGAUAACGUAGCGAAAGUUACGCUAAUACCGCAUACGAUCUACGGAUGAAAGCGGGGGAUCGCAAGACCUCGCGCGAAUGGAGCGGCCGAUGUCAGAUUAGGUAGUUGGUGGGGUAAAGGCUCACCAAGCCAACGAUCUGUAGCUGGUCUGAGAGGACGACCAGCCACACUGGAACUGAGACACGGUCCAGACUCCUACGGGAGGCAGCAGUGGGGAAUUUUGGACAAUGGGCGCAAGCCUGAUCCAGCCAUUCCGCGUGCAGGAUGAAGGCCUUCGGUUGUAAACUGCUUUGUACGGAACGAAACGGUACUGCCCUAA
Molecule: ribosomal RNA, 430 nt
Filed under: uncultured bacterium
Lineage: Bacteria
Description: bacterial SSU rRNA
Rfam family: Bacterial small subunit ribosomal RNA
Source: RNAcentral